GCCUGUAGUGACCUUCGCUCAGUCACUACAUUAGAAGAUGGCGUCCCAAAGAAACCUGGAGGGAAUUGAUUUCGACGAGGAUCAAAUAUCGGUAAUCAGCCUGGAAGAUGGGGAGGAUCUUUUUGCAAGCAUCUCAACCACAGGUUCUCUGGGUGCCGCUGAUCCUCCUCCUGACGGCUUCAGAAAGG
This is a non-coding RNA of Zootoca vivipara (common lizard), 188 nucleotides long. Lineage: Eukaryota; Metazoa; Chordata; Lepidosauria; Squamata; Lacertidae. The record is from RefSeq and is a predicted model, not a curated record.